RNAcentral lists this ribosomal RNA (431 nucleotides) under uncultured bacterium. Its description in RNAcentral is "partial 16S ribosomal RNA". It matches the Rfam family "Bacterial small subunit ribosomal RNA", at positions 29 to 507 of the family's 1533-position model. The record is from RNAcentral.
AACGAACGCUGGCGGCAGGCUUAACACAUGCAAGUCGAGCGCCCCGCCAGGGGAGCGGCAGUCGGGUGAGUAACGCGUGGGGACGUACCCUUAUCUUCGGGAUAGCUUAGGGUAACUGGAAUUAAUACCGAAUGUGCCUUUUGGGGGAACGAUUUAUCGGCUAAGGGUGGGCCCGAGUUGGAUUCGCUCGUUGGGGGGGUAAAGGCCUACCAAGGGGAGGAUCCAUAGCUGGUCUGAGAGGAUGAGCAGCCACAUUGGGCCUGAGACACGGCCCAAACUCCUGCGGGAGGCAGCAGUGGGGAAUACUGGACAAUGGGCGCAAGCCUGAUCCAGCCAUGCCGCGUGAGUGAUGAAGGCCGUAGGGUUGUAAAGCUCUUUCACCGGAGAAGAUAAUGACGGUACCCGGAGAAGAAGCCCCGGCUAACUUCGUG